AUCGCUUCUCGGCCUUUUGGCUAAGAUCAAGUGUAGUAUCUGUUCUUAUCAGUUUAUCUGAUACGUCCUCAUCCGAGGACAAUAUAUUAAAUGGAUUUUGGAGCAGGGAGAUGGAAUAGGAGCUUGCUCCGUCCACUCCACGCAUCGACCUGGUAUUGCAGUACCUCCAGGAACGGUGCACCCCCU
Molecule: small nuclear RNA, 186 nt
Filed under: Macaca fascicularis (crab-eating macaque)
Lineage: Eukaryota; Metazoa; Chordata; Mammalia; Primates; Cercopithecidae
Description: U2 spliceosomal RNA (ENSMFAG00000065392.1)
Rfam family: U2 spliceosomal RNA
About the family: U2 is a small nuclear RNA (snRNA) component of the spliceosome (involved in pre-mRNA splicing). Complementary binding between U2 snRNA (in an area lying towards the 5' end but 3' to hairpin I) and the branchpoint sequence (BPS) of the intron results the bulging out of an unpaired adenosine, on the BPS, which initiates a nucleophilic attack at the intronic 5' splice site, thus starting the first of two transesterification reactions that mediate splicing.
Source: Rfam by way of RNAcentral